CUUGGAUAACUGUGGUAAUUCUAGAGCUAAUACAUGCACCAAAGCUCCGACCGUAAGGGAAGAGCGCAUUUAUUAGAAGAAAACCAAGCGGCUUCGGCCGUUCAAUGUUGACUCAGAAUAACUAAGCUGAUCGCAUGGUCUUGUACCGGCGACGUGUCUUUCAAGUAUCUGCCUUAUCAACUUUCGAUGGUAGUUUAUCUGACUACCAUGGUGGUGACGGGUAACGGAGGAUAAGGGUUCGACUCCGGAGAAGGGGCCUGAGAAAUGGCCACUACGUCUAAGGAUGGCAGCAGGCGCGCAAAUUACCCACUCUCAGAAUGAGGAGGUAGUGACGAGAAAUAACAAGACCGUUCUCUUAAGAGGCCGGUCAUUGGAAUGGGUACAAUUUAAACCCUUUAACGAGUAUCUAUGAGAGGGCAAGUCUGGUGCCAGCAGCCGCGGUAAUUCCAGCUCUCAAAAUGCAUAGAAUUAUUGCUGCGGUUAAAAAGCUCGUAGUUGGAUCUGUGCUGGCGUGCCGGUCUAUCUUCGGAUUUGUACUGGUUUCGCUGGCUUUCCUGUUGUAUUUGGCCCUGUGUCCUUUACUGGGUGCAGGUGUCCAGUGCAGCAAGUUUACUUUGAAAAAAUCAGAGUGCUUCAAACAGGCGUUUCGCUUGAAUGUUCGUGCAUGGAAUAAUAGAAGAGGAUUUCGGUUCUAUUUUAUUGGUUUUAUAGACUGAGAUAAUGGUUAACAGAGAC
Molecule: ribosomal RNA, 735 nt
Filed under: Hirschmanniella kwazuna
Lineage: Eukaryota; Metazoa; Nematoda; Chromadorea; Rhabditida; Pratylenchidae
Description: SSU rRNA
Rfam family: Eukaryotic small subunit ribosomal RNA
Source: RNAcentral